Non-coding RNA from Camponotus floridanus (Florida carpenter ant), 45 nucleotides. Lineage: Eukaryota; Metazoa; Arthropoda; Insecta; Hymenoptera; Formicidae. The record is from Rfam.
UAAUCGGCCCUUUUCAGGGCCAAUAAAUUUUUAAAACGAGCAUUC